UAGUCAUAUGCUUGUCUCAAAGAUUAAGCCAUGCAUGUCUAAGUAUAAACAACUUUGUACUGUGAAACUGCGAAUGGCUCAUUAAAUCAGUUAUAAUUUAUUUGAUAGUACCUUACUACUUGGAUAACCGUGGUAAUUCUAGAGCUAAUACAUGCUAAAAAGUCCCGACUUCUGGAAGGGAUGUAUUUAUUAGAUAAAAAACCAACGCGGGCAACCGCUUGUCUGGUGAUUCAUAAUAACUUUUCGAAUCGCAUGGCCUUGAGCCGGCGAUGAUUCAU
Molecule: ribosomal RNA, 278 nt
Filed under: uncultured eukaryote
Lineage: Eukaryota
Description: partial 18S ribosomal RNA
Rfam family: Eukaryotic small subunit ribosomal RNA
Source: RNAcentral